RNAcentral lists this ribosomal RNA (835 nucleotides) under uncultured fungus. RNAcentral's name for it is "eukaryotic LSU rRNA". It matches the Rfam family "Eukaryotic large subunit ribosomal RNA", at positions 24 to 664 of the family's 3401-position model. Lineage: Eukaryota; Fungi. The record is from RNAcentral.
CCCGCUGAACUUAAGCAUAUUAAUAAGCGGAGGAAAAGAAACCAACUGGGAUUUCCACAGUAACUGCGAGUGAAGUGGAAAAAGCUCAAGCUUAAAAUCUAGGGCAGUCUAUGUCCUCGAAUUGUAGUUUUGUGAACAGCUUCACGGGCAGAUUGCUAUAGUAUAAGUCCCCUGGAACGGGGCGCCAAAGAAGGUGAUAGCCCUGUGCAUGACUAUAGUGUUCUGAUCUGUCAAUACGUGCUGCUAGUUCAAAGAGUCAGGUUGUUUGGGAGUACAGCCUAAAGUGGGAGGUAAAUUCCUUCUAAAGCUAAAUAAUGGUGAGAGACCGAUAGCGAACAAGUACCGUGAGGGAAAGAUGCAAAGAACUUUGAAAAGAGAGUUAAAAGUGCUUGAAAUUGUUAAAAGGGAAGCGAUUAGAGGCAGUACAUGCUUGCUAUCAACUCAUUUAUCAGAUUAUGAUUGAGAUGGUGUUAUGAGUGAUCCUUCGUGGUUACCAUAUCAUUGUAACAGUUGUGAACUGGUGAAGCAUUUUGGUGGUAAGUGCGUCAACAUCAGUGAAGGAAGAGGGAGAAAGACUUUAGGGAGGUGGCAUCGGCUAGUCUUCGGAUUAGUUUAGGUGUGUUAAACCUAAUUUAAAUACCUUUUCCAUUUCACUGAGGCAUCUUAUAGAUGAGUUAACCGGCGCCUUUUUGGCGGAGUAAGGGUGGUUUUGAGUGUCAUUAACGAGGAGAACAGCUUGCUGUGCUUUUUGAUUAGUGGUGUUCAUUUAUUAUCUACUACCUGCUGGUUAGUGAUGUUGACCUAAUGUUUCUAAACGUCCCGUCUUGAAACACGG